UUGAAUUUCUCGUAAGCUAUAAGAAUAACACUUCAAACGUAAAUGAAUUACUAUAGUCUUCAAUAUUAUUAUUUUAUUUUUUAUUAUUUUAAUUGCCAUUGUUUUUGAUCGAAAGUUUAAUAGAUCUUUUAUUAUUGAGUAGCAUGUGGUAUCGAUUAAAAUCGAUAAAACAUAUUUUUAAAAACAAAUAUUCUAGAUAAGUGAGCAGCUAUCCUUUUUAAUAUAUAAUAUUCACUGAAUUUGCAAGUAAUAUAGAUAUUUUAAUACACCAGAUAUCAAUACUACGUUCUGUACUCGUAUACACACUGAAGCUACAAUUUCUUUUUUAUUUAAGGUAAGAGUACCAGUACCCAGCCUCUAACCAGUAGUCAGCCGGUCAUAUACUUUUACAUUGGCUCAAAAUAUAUAUAGAUAUAAUUUAACAUGAAGUGGCUGGCAACUGGUAUCGGGCUAGGUAAUGGUGCUCUUACUCUACUACUAAAUAUAGGUAUAGUAAUGUCUAUAUUUAAUUUUUCAGAAAGCUUAUGUGCGUACCAUUGGCGGAAGAAAUGGAUGUGAUUUCGUGAAAAAUGUAUUUCUAUUAAUUUAUGAUGAUAAGUUUGCUUCCGAAAAUACGUGGAUGGGAAAAAAAAACAAAAUGAAUCUCAGUGAAUCGAAAAUCAACAUAUUUGUGAGAGAUGUUAUUCAAAGCAAGUUUCCUGAUUUUACUAAUAGUAAUUUUAGUACCGAGGCAGGAGAGUGGUUUCGGCUGGGGAUGCAACGCUAUAAGCGUAAGCUCAGUAAGCCUGCUCCUGAUGUUUUACAAGAUUAGAUACGAAUAAGGCGGCAACCUUGGGUUACGAGAAAAAAUAAGUUAUUCGUUGAGUUAACCCCAUCACAUUACUAUACGAGAAAGAUAUUAUUUAUUAAAGAGUCAACUUGGAGUCCAGCAUCACUAGUGUUGAAAACAUCUACACUA
Long non-coding RNA from Microplitis mediator, 958 nucleotides. RefSeq lists it as uncharacterized. The record is from RefSeq and is a predicted model, not a curated record. Lineage: Eukaryota; Metazoa; Arthropoda; Insecta; Hymenoptera; Braconidae. The transcript is spliced from 3 exons.